UACAGAGGGUGCGAGCGUUGCCCGGAUUUAUUGGGCGUAAAGGGCGCGUAGGCGGCCACGCACGUCCGUUGUGAAAUCGCCCGGCUCAACUGGGCGGGGUCAGCGGAUACGGUGUGGCUCGAGCAAGCUAGGGGGCAAUGGAAUUCCCGGUGUAGUGGUGGAAUGCGUAGAUAUCGGGAGGAACACCAGUGGCGAAGGCGGUUGCCUGGAGCUUUGCUGACGCUGAGGCGCGAAAGCGUGGGGAGCGAUCCGG
RNAcentral lists this ribosomal RNA (253 nucleotides) under uncultured bacterium. Its description in RNAcentral is "partial 16S ribosomal RNA". It matches the Rfam family "Bacterial small subunit ribosomal RNA", at positions 524 to 776 of the family's 1533-position model. The record is from RNAcentral.